UCCGGUUUGUCACCGGCAGUCUCCCUAGAGUUCCCACCAUUACGUGCUGGCAACUAGGGACAAGGGUUGCGCUCGUUGCGGGACUUAACCCAACAUCUCACGACACGAGCUGACGACAGCCAUGCAGCACCUGUCACUCGGUUCCCGAAGGCACCAAUCCAUCUCUGGAAAGUUCCGAGGAUGUCAAGACCAGGUAAGGUUUUUCGCGUUGCAUCGAAUUAAACCACAUGCUCCACCGCUUGUGCGGGCCCCCGUCAAUUACUUUGAGUUUUACCGUUGCCGGCGUACUCCCCAGGCGGAGAACUUAACGCGUUAGCUGCGACACCGAGAGGCAACCCUCCCAACAUCUAGCAUCCAUCGUUUACGGCGUGGACUAC
RNAcentral lists this unclassified non-coding RNA (377 nucleotides) under uncultured Gammaproteobacteria bacterium. RNAcentral's name for it is "contains 16S-23S intergenic spacer region". Lineage: Bacteria; Pseudomonadati; Pseudomonadota; Gammaproteobacteria. The record is from RNAcentral.